RNAcentral lists this unclassified non-coding RNA (303 nucleotides) under Panellus stipticus. RNAcentral describes it as "partial internal transcribed spacer region". The stretch from base 1 to 46 matches the Rfam family "Eukaryotic small subunit ribosomal RNA", at positions 1786 to 1831 of the family's 1831-position model. The record is from RNAcentral. Lineage: Eukaryota; Fungi; Basidiomycota; Agaricomycetes; Agaricales; Mycenaceae.
AAGUCGUAACAAGGUUUCCGUAGGUGAACCUGCGGAAGGAUCAUUAUUGAAUACGCUUUGGGUGUUGACGCUGGCCUUUCGAGGCAUGUGCUCGCAUUCAAAACUGUUUAAUCUUCACUUGUGCACCUUUUGUAGUCUUUUGAAGUCAUCUCCGCUGCAAAUGCGGGUUUUUGGGAGUCUGUCUCCCUGGGCUUCAGAGACUAUGUUUUCAUAUACAUUGAAAAGUUACAGAAUGUCUUCUUAUUGGCCGCGAGGCCUUUAUAAACUUAAUACAACUUUCAACAACGGAUCUCUUGGCUCUCC